RNAcentral lists this ribosomal RNA (468 nucleotides) under uncultured bacterium. RNAcentral's name for it is "partial 16S ribosomal RNA". It matches the Rfam family "Bacterial small subunit ribosomal RNA", at positions 28 to 523 of the family's 1533-position model. The record is from RNAcentral.
GAUGAACGCUGGCGGCGUGCCUAACACAUGCAAGUCGAACGAUUUACUUCGGUAAAGAGCGGCGGACGGGUGAGUAACGCGUGGGUAACCUGCCCUGUACACACGGAUAACAUACUGAAAGGUAUGCUAAUACGAGAUAAUAUGCUUUUAUCGCAUGGUAGAAGUAUCAAAGCUUUUGCGGUACAGGAUGGACCCGCGUCUGAUUAGCUAGUUGGUAAGGUAACGGCUUACCAAGGCGACGAUCAGUAGCCGACCUGAGAGGGUGAUCGGCCACAUUGGAACUGAGACACGGUCCAAACUCCUACGGGAGGCAGCAGUGGGGAAUAUUGCACAAUGGGCGAAAGCCUGAUGCAGCAACGCCGCGUGAGCGAUGAAGGCCUUCGGGUCGUAAAGCUCUGUCCUCAAGGAAGAUAAUGACGGUACUUGAGGAGGAAGCCCCGGCUAACUACGUGCCAGCCGCCGCUGUAA